UCUAAAAGAGAAGAAAAGAGAGGAGUUUUCUGCAAUAUCUUAGUAAAAAUCCAAGUAGUGUCAUGAGAGUACGGAAUAUAUGAAGUUCGCAAGAGUCCGAAGAUUGAAGUGCUUUGACUUCAUAUUAUAAAUUGUUGAAUCCUGGGAGACGGACGCCUACUGAACUACAAGCACAAGAGUAGGGCGAAAUUCUGUCUUUAGGACAUUGCAUGCAUUUAUGCAAGCCUCAAUCUCCAAGUUUGUUAGUUUUUCUAACUUUCUCUUUUGUUGUUUAUAUUAAUCUCAUACAUAAUUGAUGUUGUGAAUUUCUUUAUGAUUAUUAUUAUUAUUGUAAUUCUUGCAUUAUUUUCAUAUUUUCUAAUAUUGCUCCAACAAUCUAAAGACAAAUUUUUUAUUAUUUGGAACAAUUAGAAAUAUGAUAGUAUGCAAUUUAAUAGGUAGAGAUGUAGCGUUAACCUUGUAGAGUUAUUCUCAUAAAAUUGUGGUAAUGAUAUUUACCUCUCUCACUCAUGUCCGAGUAGGCCUGGCAAUUCCUGACACGACUCGAUAACCCAACACGACACGACACGAAAUUAACAGGUGUUCGGGUCGACACGAUAACGAAACGGGUCGUUAUCGGGUAACCCGAUAAGCACCUGUUAAUAAUUUUAUAACCCUAAAAAAAUACUAUAAUAAUUAUAUAUAUUAAUUUAACAAUUUUAUUGACACACCCCGUCCCGAAGGAGGGCAUGCUGGCCGUCACGUGAGAGUGACGUAACCAUUUGCACAGUACGGAAGCUUUAAUUAUACAAUUUAUAAGUGACGCAUCUUAAUCCCGUUUAAGGGCGUUUCUGUAAUUUCACGUCAUCGGAAUUAAAAUUCCGGGACGGGCUGUGACAAUCUCCCCUCCUUAUAGAAUUUCGUCCCCGAAAUUCCAGUCACCAACCAUAACAUCAAAACUCAUAGAAUAGUCUCGGAUACAUAUCUCUCAUCCUUUCUUCCGUCUCCCAAGUAGCUUCUUCAGCUGAAUGAUUUCUCCACAAUACUUUUACCAAGCUCACGGUCUUAUUCCUCAAAGUCUUAUCUUUCCAAUCCAGUAUAGUCACUGGUUCCUCAAAAGUGUUGUACUAGGUUGAAUAAAACUUUUAUCAACCAAUUCCCUCAACUGAAUUUCCAAUUCCCUUAACUCAUCAUGAACCAAUCUCCAAUAUAAAUUUAUACCUGGCAACAAAUCAAUAGUGAACCUCAUAUCUCUGCCUGAAGGCAAUCCAGGUAUACUUUCAGGGAAGACAUCAAGAAAAGUCUAACUCUUUCGACAUUAUUCACACUACUCCAAACAACAUCAUUUAGCACCACAUGAGCUAAGUAUUUUUGACAGCCUUUCGAAAACAAUCUCUUUGCUCUCACAGCAUAAAUAAUGGCUGAACUCAAUCCACUUUGCAUACUUACCAAAAGUAAUCUCUGGUCUCCAUUCGAUGGAAAGUACUGGUUUCCCUUAACAUUCCGUCUUGUCACAAUUAUAACCAACCAAUCUAAUGGAAAUAAUUUAAACCGACACAAUACAUACUCUAUUACU
This 1555-nucleotide long non-coding RNA is filed under the name Malus domestica (apple). Its description in RNAcentral is "long non-coding RNA (MDOM_LNC000591)". Lineage: Eukaryota; Viridiplantae; Streptophyta; Magnoliopsida; Rosales; Rosaceae. The record is from RNAcentral.